Molecule: ribosomal RNA, 461 nt
Filed under: uncultured bacterium
Lineage: Bacteria
Description: partial 16S ribosomal RNA
Rfam family: Bacterial small subunit ribosomal RNA
Source: RNAcentral
GACGAACGCUGGCGGCGUGCCUAAAACAUGCAAGUCGUGCGGCAGCAUGCCCUUCGGGGUGAUGGCGAGCGGCGGACGGCUGAGUAACGCGUGGGAACGUGCCCCAAAGUGAGGAAUAACUGCCCGAAAGGGUGGCUAAUGCCGCAUAUGGUCUUCGGAUUAAAGCUUCGGCGCUUUGGGAGUGGCCCGCGUAAGAUUAGAUAGUUGGUGAGGUAAUGGCUCACCAAGUCGAUGAUCUUUAACUGGUUUGAGAGGAUGAUCAGUCAGACUGGAGCUGAGAAACGGUCCAGACUCCUACGGGAGGCAGCAGUUAGGAAUAUUCCACAAUGGGCGAAAGCCUGAUGGAGCAACGCCGCGUGGAGGAUGAAGGCCCUAGGGUUGUAAAGCACUUUCGUUGGGGAUGAUAAUGACCGUACCCAAAGAAGAAGCACCGGCUAACUUCGUGCCAGCAGCCGCCGUAA